This 253-nucleotide ribosomal RNA is filed under the name uncultured bacterium. RNAcentral describes it as "partial 16S ribosomal RNA". It matches the Rfam family "Bacterial small subunit ribosomal RNA", at positions 524 to 776 of the family's 1533-position model. The record is from RNAcentral.
UACGUAGGUGACAAGCGUUGUCCGGAUUUACUGGGCGUAAAGCGCGUGUAGGCGGCUUUGCAAGUCGGGUGUGAAAGCCCUCAGCUCAACUGAGGAAGUGCGCCCGAAACUGCAGAGCUUGAGUGCCGGAGAGGGUGGCGGAAUUCCCCAAGUAGAGGUGAAAUUCGUAGAUAUGGGGAGGAACACCGGUGGCGAAGGCGGCCACCUGGACGGUAACUGACGCUGAGACGCGAAAGCGUGGGGAGCAAACAGG